UUAAGCGACUAAGCGUACACGGUGGAUGCCCUGGCAGUCAGAGGCGAUGAAGGACGUGCUAAUCUGCGAUAAGCGUCGGUAAGGUGAUAUGAACCGUUAUAACCGGCGAUUUCCGAAUGGGGAAACCCAGUGUGUUUCGACACACUAUCAUUAACUGAAUCCAUAGGUUAAUGAGGCGAACCGGGGGAACUGAAACAUCUAAGUACCCCGAGGAAAAGAAAUCAACCGAGAUUCCCCCAGUAGCGGCGAGCGAACGGGGAGCAGCCCAGAGCCUGAAUCAGUAUGUGUGUUAGUGGAAGCGUCUGGAAAGGCGCGCGAUACAGGGUGACAGCCCCGUACACAAAAAUGCACAUGCUGUGAGCUCGAUGAGUAGGGCGGGACACGUGGUAUCCUGUCUGAAUAUGGGGGGACCAUCCUCCAAGGCUAAAUACUCCUGACUGACCGAUAGUGAACCAGUACCGUGAGGGAAAGGCGAAAAGAACCCCGGCGAGGGGAGUGAAAAAGAACCUGAAACCGUGUACGUACAAGCAGUGGGAGCACGCUUAGGCGUGUGACUGCGUACCUUUUGUAUAAUGGGUCAGCGACUUAUAUUCUGUAGCAAGGUUAACCGAAUAGGGGAGCCGAAGGGAAACCGAGUCUUAACUGGGCGUUAAGUUGCAGGGUAUAGACCCGAAACCCGGUGAUCUAGCCAUGGGCAGGUUGAAGGUUGGGUAACACUAACUGGAGGACCGAACCGACUAAUGUUGAAAAAUUAGCGGAUGACUUGUGGCUGGGGGUGAAAGGCCAAUCAAACCGGGAGAUAGCUGGUUCUCCCCGAAAGCUAUUUAGGUAGCGCCUCGUGAAUUCAUCUCCGGGGGUAGAGCACUGUUUCGGCAAGGGGGUCAUCCCGACUUACCAACCCGAUGCAAACUGCGAAUACCGGAGAAUGUUAUCACGGGAGACACACGGCGGGUGCUAACGUCCGUCGUGAAGAGGGAAACAACCCAGACCGCCAGCUAAGGUCCCAAAGUCAUGGUUAAGUGGGAAACGAUGUGGGAAGGCCCAGACAGCCAGGAUGUUGGCUUAGAAGCAGCCAUCAUUUAAAGAAAGCGUAAUAGCUCACUGGUCGAGUCGGCCUGCGCGGAAGAUGUAACGGGGCUAAACCAUGCACCGAAGCUGCGGCAGCGACGCUGAUGCGUUGUUGGGUAGGGGAGCGUUCUGUAAGCCUGCGAAGGUGUGCUGUGAGGCAUGCUGGAGGUAUCAGAAGUGCGAAUGCUGACAUAAGUAACGAUAAAGCGGGUGAAAAGCCCGCUCGCCGGAAGACCAAGGGUUCCUGUCCAACGUUAAUCGGGGCAGGGUGAGUCGACCCCUAAGGCGAGGCCGAAAGGCGUAGUCGAUGGGAAACAGGUUAAUAUUCCUGUACUUGGUGUUACUGCGAAGGGGGGACGGAGAAGGCUAUGUUGGCCGGGCGACGGUUGUCCCGGUUUAAGCGUGUAGGCUGGUUUUCCAGGCAAAUCCGGAAAAUCAAGGCUGAGGCGUGAUGACGAGGCACUACGGUGCUGAAGCAACAAAUGCCCUGCUUCCAGGAAAAGCCUCUAAGCAUCAGGUAACAUCAAAUCGUACCCCAAACCGACACAGGUGGUCAGGUAGAGAAUACCAAGGCGCUUGAGAGAACUCGGGUGAAGGAACUAGGCAAAAUGGUGCCGUAACUUCGGGAGAAGGCACGCUGAUAUGUAGGUGAAGCGACUUGCUCGUGGAGCUGAAAUCAGUCGAAGAUACCAGCUGGCUGCAACUGUUUAUUAAAAACACAGCACUGUGCAAACACGAAAGUGGACGUAUACGGUGUGACGCCUGCCCGGUGCCGGAAGGUUAAUUGAUGGGGUCAGCGCAAGCGAAGCUCUUGAUCGAAGCCCCGGUAAACGGCGGCCGUAACUAUAACGGUCCUAAGGUAGCGAAAUUCCUUGUCGGGUAAGUUCCGACCUGCACGAAUGGCGUAAUGAUGGCCAGGCUGUCUCCACCCGAGACUCAGUGAAAUUGAACUCGCUGUGAAGAUGCAGUGUACCCGCGGCAAGACGGAAAGACCCCGUGAACCUUUACUAUAGCUUGACACUGAACAUUGAGCCUUGAUGUGUAGGAUAGGUGGGAGGCUUUGAAGUGUGGACGCCAGUCUGCAUGGAGCCGACCUUGAAAUACCACCCUUUAAUGUUUGAUGUUCUAACGUUGACCCGUAAUCCGGGUUGCGGACAGUGUCUGGUGGGUAGUUUGACUGGGGCGGUCUCCUCCUAAAGAGUAACGGAGGAGCACGAAGGUUGGCUAAUCCUGGUCGGACAUCAGGAGGUUAGUGCAAUGGCAUAAGCCAGCUUGACUGCGAGCGUGACGGCGCGAGCAGGUGCGAAAGCAGGUCAUAGUGAUCCGGUGGUUCUGAAUGGAAGGGCCAUCGCUCAACGGAUAAAAGGUACUCCGGGGAUAACAGGCUGAUACCGCCCAAGAGUUCAUAUCGACGGCGGUGUUUGGCACCUCGAUGUCGGCUCAUCACAUCCUGGGGCUGAAGUAGGUCCCAAGGGUAUGGCUGUUCGCCAUUUAAAGUGGUACGCGAGCUGGGUUUAGAACGUCGUGAGACAGUUCGGUCCCUAUCUGCCGUGGGCGCUGGAGAACUGAGGGGGGCUGCUCCUAGUACGAGAGGACCGGAGUGGACGCAUCACUGGUGUUCGGGUUGUCAUGCCAAUGGCACUGCCCGGUAGCUAAAUGCGGAAGAGAUAAGUGCUGAAAGCAUCUAAGCACGAAACUUGCCCCGAGAUGAGUUCUCCCUGACCCUUUAAGGGUCCUGAAGGAACGUUGAAGACGACGACGUUGAUAGGCCGGGUGUGUAAGCGCAGCGAUGCGUUGAGCUAACCGGUACUAAUGAACCGUGAGGCUUAACCUU
RNAcentral lists this ribosomal RNA (2902 nucleotides) under Escherichia coli O104:H4 str. 11-4404. RNAcentral describes it as "bacterial LSU rRNA". It matches the Rfam family "Bacterial large subunit ribosomal RNA". The record is from RNAcentral. Lineage: Bacteria; Pseudomonadati; Pseudomonadota; Gammaproteobacteria; Enterobacterales; Enterobacteriaceae.